GGCCUCGUGGCCCAAUGGCAAGGCGUCUGACUACGAAAGAGCUUCAAGUUCUACUGUUAUCAGGAGAUUCUGGGUUCGACCCCCAGCGAGGUCA
Molecule: non-coding RNA, 94 nt
Organism: Xylariaceae sp. FL0594
Lineage: Eukaryota; Fungi; Ascomycota; Sordariomycetes; Xylariales; Xylariaceae
Source: the annotation of a GenBank genome assembly